This is a long non-coding RNA of Rhipicephalus sanguineus (brown dog tick), 263 nucleotides long. RefSeq lists it as uncharacterized. NCBI's taxonomy places the organism in Eukaryota, Metazoa, Arthropoda, Arachnida, Ixodida, Ixodidae. The record is from RefSeq and is a predicted model, not a curated record. The transcript has 3 exons.
AGGAUCUCAAGAGACAGAAGAUGGUGGCAAAGCUCAAGAAGGCUGCCCAGAAGGACCUGUUGGGCAUGCUUGACGUGGAGAAGAGUGGCACGGUCGAGGAAGUGCACGGAUCGCAUCCUCAGCUUCCUGCUCAAGCCCUUCGAUAACAAGAAGCCCCUCCCAGCUGCCAAGAAAGGAAAGAGAAAGUCCUCAACUCCUGGUUCUGCUGGCAAGGGCCAGGCCAAAAAACGAAAGACUGCAACUCCCAAGGCAGAGAAGAAGGG